CUACGGGUGGCAGCAGUGGGGAAUAUUGGACAAUGGGGGAAACCCUGAUCCAGCAAUGCCGCGUGUGUGAAGAAGGCCUGCGGGUUGUAAAGCACUUUCGGUUGGGAGGACUGCUUCUAGCACUAAUAUUGUUGGAAGUUGACGUUACCUUCAGAAGAAGCACCGGAUAACUCCGUGCCAGCAGCCGCGGUAAUAGCGGAGGGUGCAAGCGUUAAUCGGAAUUACUGGGCGUAAAGCGCGCGUAGGCGGCUAGGUCAGUCGGGUGUGAAAGCCCCGGGCUUAACCUGGGAACUGCAUCCGAUACUGUCUAGCUUGAGUACAGGAGAGGAGAGUGGAAUUCCACAUGUAGCGGUGAAAUGCGUAGAUAUGUGGAGGAACACCAAUGGCGAAGGCAGCUCUCUGGCCUGAUACUGACGCUGAGGUGCGAAAGCGUGGGGAGCAAACAGGAUUAGAUACCCCCGUAGUC
Molecule: ribosomal RNA, 466 nt
Filed under: uncultured bacterium
Lineage: Bacteria
Description: partial 16S ribosomal RNA
Rfam family: Bacterial small subunit ribosomal RNA
Source: RNAcentral